GUAAUUCUAGGGAAUUUUGCAGAUUUUUGAUAAAUCUGACAGAUUUUUGAUGUGCAUUUAGCAGAAUUUGGCUCUGACCUUACGGUCACCCUGUUGCUCGCCUACAAGUUGAUAACUUCUGUUGGGUUUGCGAGGAGAUCGGACUUUUCAACCAUGAGCCAAAACAUUGCAGUGAGUGACGGGGUCGUGAAGGACAUCCUGCGUGCGGGAGGUCCUACCAAGGUCCAGGCAUUGGAGACCAUCACCGUCCACUGCACUGGUUCCCUCGCUGGCAACCCACCCAAGAAAUUUUGGAGCACAAAAGAUCCUGGACAACAGCCAUUCACCUUCCAGGUCGGCGCGGGAAAAGUGAUCAAAGGAUGGGAUGAAGGCUGCUUGUCGAUGUGCAAAGGAGAGAUUGCUCUUCUCAAGAUCCGCUCUGACAAAGGUUACGGAGCCAAUGGCUUCCCAGCGUGGGGGAUCACUCCAAAUGCGAACCUAGAGUUUGAAAUCGAGAUCCUGUGAGGAGGCGGCCCCCUCAAGCUCUUCCAUAUUGGAACGGGCUGUCUUAAUGUUACCCAUGAUGCAUCACUAAACUAAUACAGAUACUCAACUUCAGUGAUUCAUGUUUCACCAGUUAGCUUUUCACAUCUCUUUUUAAAUCUUUUCGUGAUUCUUGCCAGAUCUAAAAUACAACUUCGUGGAUACGCGGCAGACGCGAUUUCUAAAUCUCAUGCUGCAUGUGAAUAAUUUCCGUGAUCGGUUGUGUUGUUUUUGAAAGAAUCGCUUUUCGUUAUUAUUAAGAGACCAGACAUAGUGUUUGUUACACAAAAUUAUGGUGUGUUUUCAUUUCAUUUUUUUCCAUUACACCUAUUUGUGACCCUCCAGCACAAAACCAGUCACUUGGACCAAUUUUUUGAAAACUGGGAUUUUGAGCUCAUUGGAAAGGACAUUGAAUAUCCUUUCCAAUAAUGUACUGAAUAUGGGAAUCAGACAAAAUCUGACAGAGUUUUUGGCAUUUUCAGAUUCCAAUUUUUUGGCCUGGGAAAGUUUAAAGAAUUGUGAAAUUGGUUGUUAAAGGGAAUAUACAACAUUUGCAAACAUCAAAAACAAAACUACUAAAUCAUUAUGAAAUACCUUACUGGACUGCUAGUGAAUGACAGUCCAGCAUCAGUUUCUAUACACACAAAGCUUCAAACAAGUCAGUGUAAGAAUAUUUGCUAUAAAAUACUAAAUCCCAAAUCCAUCCAUUUCUGAAAUUUAGGCAAAAGCACUUAAAAGUUUCCCAAGGGAACUCGGAAACAACACACAUUUCUAUAAAAAAAAAACAAUCGGCACAAAACUUGGAUGGACAGUCAUCACUAGUCUUGUCCUAAUUUAUUUACACAAAUGUUCAAUAUUCUGAUGUAUUUCUAGGCUGUAUCUCAAAAUAUGGCAGUGUGACUUCUGACUGGUUAUAUGCUGUAGGGUCACAUAUUGCGAUAGGUAAUGCGUUCCCUUGUUUUCAGCAUUCAACCAAUACAAAUGGUUCACAGAUAAAAUGUUUAAAGAAUUGAAAAAGUUCAUUUACUUUAUAGCUCACUCUGUAAUUAUAGUAAACAGAGUAUAGUAAACAGACUAUUUCUGCAUAUUAUUUUGAUGUUGUUUUGAUAUUGGGUGAUUUAAGUAAAUAGAUAAAUCAUUGUGAAAUUUCUAAUCAGUGCCUAGCAAAGAGGAGAACAGAUUAAAAGUAAGAAUUAAAUGAAAA
This 1726-nucleotide unclassified non-coding RNA is filed under the name Patiria miniata (bat star). RNAcentral describes it as "peptidyl-prolyl cis-trans isomerase FKBP12-like, transcript variant X2". Lineage: Eukaryota; Metazoa; Echinodermata; Asteroidea; Valvatida; Asterinidae. The record is from RNAcentral.